Molecule: ribosomal RNA, 252 nt
Filed under: uncultured bacterium
Lineage: Bacteria
Description: partial 16S ribosomal RNA
Rfam family: Bacterial small subunit ribosomal RNA
Source: RNAcentral
UACGAAGGGGGCUAGCGUUGUUCGGAAUUACUGGGCGUAAAGCGCGCGCAGGCGGCCAUUCAAGUCAGGGGUGAAAGCCCAGAGCUCAACUCUGGAACUGCCCUUGAACUGCAUGGCUUGAGUACGAGAGAGGUGAGUGGAAUUCCCAGUGUAGAGGUGAAAUUCGUAGAUAUUGGGAAGAACACCGGUGGCGAAGGCGGCUCACUGGCUCGUUACUGACGCUCAGGCGCGACAGCGUGGGGAUCAAACAGG